RNAcentral lists this ribosomal RNA (253 nucleotides) under uncultured bacterium. RNAcentral describes it as "partial 16S ribosomal RNA". It matches the Rfam family "Bacterial small subunit ribosomal RNA", at positions 524 to 776 of the family's 1533-position model. The record is from RNAcentral.
UACGUAGGGGGCAAGCGUUGUCCGGAAUUACUGGGCGUAAAGGGCGCGUAGGCGGCCGCCUAAGUCAGACGUGAAAUCCCUCGGCUCAACCGGGGAACUGCGUCUGAUACUGGGUGGCUUGAAUCCGGGAGAGGGAUGCGGAAUUCCAGGUGUAGCGGUGAAAUGCGUAGAUAUCUGGAGGAACACCGGUGGCGAAGGCGGCAUCCUGGACCGGCAUUGACGCUGAGGCGCGAAAGCCAGGGGAGCAAACGGG